RNAcentral lists this ribosomal RNA (1186 nucleotides) under Microbacterium sp. Its description in RNAcentral is "bacterial SSU rRNA". It matches the Rfam family "Bacterial small subunit ribosomal RNA", at positions 225 to 1421 of the family's 1533-position model. Lineage: Bacteria; Bacillati; Actinomycetota; Actinomycetes; Micrococcales; Microbacteriaceae. The record is from RNAcentral.
AUGAGCUCGCGGCCUAUCAGCUUGUUGGUGAGGUAAUGGCUCACCAAGGCGUCGACGGGUAGCCGGCCUGAGAGGGUGACCGGCCACACUGGGACUGAGACACGGCCCAGACUCCUACGGGAGGCAGCAGUGGGGAAUAUUGCACAAUGGGCGAAAGCCUGAUGCAGCAACGCCGCGUGAGGGAUGACGGCCUUCGGGUUGUAAACCUCUUUUAGCAGGGAAGAAGCGAAAGUGACGGUACCUGCAGAAAAAGCGCCGGCUAACUACGUGCCAGCAGCCGCGGUAAUACGUAGGGCGCAAGCGUUAUCCGGAAUUAUUGGGCGUAAAGAGCUCGUAGGCGGUCUGUCGCGUCUGCUGUGAAAACCCGAGGCUCAACCUCGGGCCUGCAGUGGGUACGGGCAGACUAGAGUGCGGUAGGGGAGAUUGGAAUUCCUGGUGUAGCGGUGGAAUGCGCAGAUAUCAGGAGGAACACCGAUGGCGAAGGCAGAUCUCUGGGCCGUAACUGACGCUGAGGAGCGAAAGGGUGGGGAGCAAACAGGCUUAGAUACCCUGGUAGUCCACCCCGUAAACGUUGGGAACUAGUUGUGGGGUCCAUUCCACGGAUUCCGUGACGCAGCUAACGCAUUAAGUUCCCCGCCUGGGGAGUACGGCCGCAAGGCUAAAACUCAAAGGAAUUGACGGGGACCCGCACAAGCGGCGGAGCAUGCGGAUUAAUUCGAUGCAACGCGAAGAACCUUACCAAGGCUUGACAUAUACGAGAACGGGCCAGAAAUGGUCAACUCUUUGGACACUCGUAAACAGGUGGUGCAUGGUUGUCGUCAGCUCGUGUCGUGAGAUGUUGGGUUAAGUCCCGCAACGAGCGCAACCCUCGUUCUAUGUUGCCAGCACGUAAUGGUGGGAACUCAUGGGAUACUGCCGGGGUCAACUCGGAGGAAGGUGGGGAUGACGUCAAAUCAUCAUGCCCCUUAUGUCUUGGGCUUCACGCAUGCUACAAUGGCCGGUACAAAGGGCUGCAAUACCGCGAGGUGGAGCGAAUCCCAAAAAGCCGGUCCCAGUUCGGAUUGAGGUCUGCAACUCGACCUCAUGAAGUCGGAGUCGCUAGUAAUCGCAGAUCAGCAACGCUGCGGUGAAUACGUUCCCGGGUCUUGUACACACCGCCCGUCAAGUCAUGAAAGUCGGUAACACC